RNAcentral lists this ribosomal RNA (250 nucleotides) under uncultured bacterium. Its description in RNAcentral is "partial 16S ribosomal RNA". It matches the Rfam family "Bacterial small subunit ribosomal RNA", at positions 524 to 773 of the family's 1533-position model. The record is from RNAcentral.
GACGAACCGUACGAACGUUAUUCGGAAUUACUGGGCUUAAAGGGUGCGUAGGCGGCGCGGCAAGUUGGGUGUGAAAUCCCUCGGCUCAACCGAGGAACUGCGCCCAAUACUGCCGUGCUCGAGGGAGACAGAGGUGAGCGGAACUUAGGGUGGAGCGGUGAAAUGCGUUGAUAUCCUAAGGAACACCCGUGGCGAAAGCGGCUCACUGGGUCUCUUCUGACGCUGAGGCACGAAAGCUAGGGUAGCGAAC